CUUAAAGGUAUUGACGGAAGGCACACAAGGAGUGGAGCUUGCGGCUUAAUUUGACUCAACGCGGGGCACCUUACCUGGCCCAGACAUCGCGGGGAUUGACAGAUUGAGAGCUCUUUCAUGAUUCGGUGGGUGGUGGUGCAUGGCCGUUCUUAGUACGUGGUGCAAACUGUCAGGUUAAAUCCGCUAACGUACAUGACUCUAGCCUGUUAACUAGAGCCGGACGAUGAUAAUAAGUCGCCGAAGCAUAGUACUUCUUAGAGGGAUUCCUUUGGCGUGAGAGAAGCGGAUGAAACAGAGCAAUAACAGGUCUGUGAUGCCCUUAGAUGGUCUGGGCCGCACGCGCGCUACACUGACACGGAAAGAAUGGGUAGGCUUCUGGCCGGCCGGGCGCGCGAGCUGCCUAGUAACUAGGAAAACUUAGAAACUUUGUCGUGAUGGGGCUCAGGCCUUGUAAUUGUGGCCUGUCAACGAGGAAUUCCAAGUAAGUGCGAGUCACCAGCUUGCGUUGAUCAAGUCCCUGCCCUUUGUACACACCGCCCGUCGCUACCACUGAGCUAGCGGCUUAGCGAGGAUGUCUAGACGGGUCCUGGUCGCCACGAGCCGCGGUCGCCAAGGGGGUUGGGUAAGACCUUCCCCCGGCCGCGGUGGGCUUCAGGUGGGCCUGGAAGGCAUUCGAACUCGGCUGUUUCUAGGAGGUAAA
This 700-nucleotide ribosomal RNA is filed under the name Trypanosyllis luzonensis. Its description in RNAcentral is "bacterial SSU rRNA". It matches the Rfam family "Eukaryotic small subunit ribosomal RNA", at positions 1143 to 1786 of the family's 1831-position model. The record is from RNAcentral. Lineage: Eukaryota; Metazoa; Annelida; Polychaeta; Phyllodocida; Syllidae.